GCCAGUUGUUGUACAGUUGCAAUUCCAGCUAAUGUUUAUCUAAAUUUGGCAGAUCAUUUCUAUAUUGCUUUGUGAAACCCUAGAAAUCUGGGUGAUUGAAUAAAGAGAUCUAACAUGUCUGAGAAAAAGAAGAUGAGAAGUGAAGCAAGCAGCAGUAGCAGCAAUAGCAUCACUGCUGGAAACGAUUCUGUUGUUGUUGAGGUUGGUCGACGUAGAAACUCAUGUGGUUAUUGUAAAUCCGGUGGUCCUACUAGUAUCUCUCACGGUUUAUGGGCACGCAGUCUGACAGUUGAUGACUAUCAAGCUCUUCUAGAUAGAGGAUGGAGAAG
This 329-nucleotide unclassified non-coding RNA is filed under the name Hevea brasiliensis (rubber tree). Lineage: Eukaryota; Viridiplantae; Streptophyta; Magnoliopsida; Malpighiales; Euphorbiaceae. The record is from RNAcentral.